RNAcentral lists this long non-coding RNA (44042 nucleotides) under Coffea arabica (coffee). RNAcentral's name for it is "long non-coding RNA (CARA_LNC000129)". Lineage: Eukaryota; Viridiplantae; Streptophyta; Magnoliopsida; Gentianales; Rubiaceae. The record is from RNAcentral.
GGGUGGUUUGUGAAAAUUUGGGAAAGAAACAUUGCCAUCACCUGAUACAAAUGGUUUCUUCCAUGGAAGUAGGGUUCGUGUAGUUUGUGAGCUAUGCAAGACAUGAGGCUUCAACAUUUUGUCAAGAAUGAGUAUCUAACUAGCAAGAUGAUCAAAGGAACCUUUUUUUUUGCUUUUUUUUUUUGGGUAAGAUUGCUUGAGCUGGGACUAUGGCUGGGUGUGUGAGAAUUGUUGAGAAAGAGUAGUAUAAAUAGAGCCAAGGGAGGGGAAUGGGAGAUUUGCAGUGGAUUUGUUUGCCGAUUUAAUUCUUGGAGUCACGACAAUUACCAAAUAGUGAACUCGUUGAUUGAUGGUUGGAGCUUGGAAACCUUCACCUACUUUUUUUUUUGUUACUUCUUGUUUGUUUUUUGGGCUGAAUAAAAAGUCAAUUAUGAUGGUAUUUUCAUUUAAUUAGUUCACAUUGUUUUAGAUCUUGAUUUUGGAAAAUUAGUUUAGUGAAGACGAUGUUCCAAUUGCUUUUCUUUCUAAACUUCAGAAUUUUCAACAAGCAAAAACAAGUUUUAAUGGAGAACCUAUCUAAUAGUACUAACUUUUGUUGAUUCUAAUUAAUAUUCCUUUCGUCCCAUAUAUUUAGUCAUGUUCGGAAAUAUGUACUCCCUCCGUCCCAUAUAUUUAGUCAUAUUUGAGAAUUAUGUACUUUUUAUACAUAGUACACACAACCAAAAAAAUUUUGCUUUUUUUUCCACUUUUGCCCUUAAUCAUGUGUUGGUCAAAAUAAAAAAUAUGAAGUAAUUAGCAAUUCCAUCACAUUUGUUUUUAUGCAUCAUUAAUGAAGGGCAUAAGGGAAAUUUUAAAGUAUAAAGUAAUUAUAAAUGUCAAACAUGACAAAUAUUUUGGAAUAACCAAAAAGAAAAGUACAGCACUUUCAAUGGGACGGAUAAAGUACUUUUUAUGCAUAGUAUACUCCAUCAAAAAGUUUUUCUUUUCGUUUCACUUUUAUCCUUAGUAAUUUGUUGGUCAAAAUAAAGAGUAAAAAGCAAUUCCAUCACAUUUAUUUUUAUGCAUCAUUAAUGAAAAAUAUAAAGGAAAUUUCAGAGUAUAAAAUAAUUAAAAAUAUUAAAUAUGAUAAAUAUUUUGAAUAAAAAAAAAUACGACCCUUUUAAUAAGAAAGAAAUUUUUUUUUUUUUUGCACCAAAAUUGGAGCAAACCGAAAAAGCCACCAUCGCUUUCACGAGAGAUCGCAGAAAACAGUCAUAGGCUGUUCACCGAGCGGAUGGGACCAACCUUAGCUGAACAAAUUAAAAUAUCCAAUAUGCUACUUACUCCAUUCAUCAAUGACGUGACCAAUCAAAGAUAAUAAUCUCGGCUCUGUUUGGCUUGACUUGAAGCCAAGCUUACCAUGACUGAGGGGAAGGAAAACGAUCACAUUGCUAUUGUUCGUCCUUUAUGGCAAUUUCAUAGCUUCAACCAAGAGCUUUUUCAUUCCGUGGAAAGGAGCAGAUGCAGCCAGGAAACCUUCGGUCUUUGGCCCCCACAAUAGUCAUUUCAUUUCUGAAUUUAGGGACAAUUUCAGAAACCUCCCUUGAGGUUUUCAAUAAUUGCACUAACCUCCCUUGAGAUUUGUAAAAUUACACUAACCUCUCCUAAGGUUAAGAUUUUGGUAACAAAAUUAGUCCAAAUCAGAAAAAAUACCAUUAGAAAAGUACUUUGAAAAAAGAGAUAAAAUUUUUAUUCCACAAAUGCUCUUUAUGCUUAUGUACAAGUUGUAUUGUAAAGAAAUGAAAAAUAUAUUGAUAAAAGUGUGGGAAGGUAAGUGCAAAUAGCAAAAAACAAGAAAUUAGUAGCAACUGACUUUCACUACAAAGUUGGACCAACGGUUAAUGCAUUGGAUUACAACGGAUAUUUUUUUAGGUCUUUACCAUUUUGCAUAUAAAAUACAACAAGAAACAUAAAGAUGGAUAUCACUUUCACUUGAAGCAGCAAAAGUUGAUGUGAAAAAUAAUGAUUUUGUGGGGAUUUGGCAAGCUGAAGGUGAAGCAUAUGUGUAAAAACUAUGACCCUGUCAAUCUAUAGGAGGAAAUCGUAAAAUCCACCCACAUCCUUUAACACAAAGAAUAAAUAUUGCAAGUGCAAUUGCAAAACAAUUGUGAAGAUUUUUGAAAGUACAAAAAUCCAGACAAAUUAUUGUUUGAUGUAUCAAUUUGGUGUAUCAAUUUUUUAGAGUGAACAAAUAUUUGGUACAUCAAUGGGUAGCAUUUUGUAAUUGCAUGUUACUGUUCAUCAUUAAAAAAAUCUCCAAUAGUUAUUUUUGCUAAUUAGUUACUAAUAGUUAAUUAGUGCCCUAAUUACUUAAUUUUCAAAUGUUAUUUUCAAUGAGUCAUAAUAUCAUAGGGUAUAUGGGUAAUUUUUCCCCAAUAAGACACUACAGGAUAGGUUAGUGUUAUUUUGUAAAUCUCAGGGAAGGCGAAUGAAAAUGUCAAAAAUCUUAGGGGACGUUUAUUGUGAAUUUAUCAUAACCAAAGGGACAGGAAUAAUUAUCAGUGCAAAUAUUUCAAAUAGUAAAGUAAUGAUUUGACUUAAAAGUUGAAUGUUGAAAAGGGUUAAUAACACUUUGCCCCCCCUAAAAGGGAGACCUAGCCGUCUUCCAAAAAGAGCUGCAUCGAGAGGUGUUUCGGCUUAUAUUCCUACUGAUGUAAUUUCCAUUACUAAUGUACAAAUUGUCCUAUUUGCCGAUCUAUUCAAUAGUAUGACGAGCAGUGUGUACAAGACUUGGGAACGGAUUCAGUGUGGUAUGGUUGCCCGCGAUUACUAUUGAAUAGUUAUUCCAGAUGCUCUCCAAAUCUAGAAAAAAAAAAAAAGAAGUUAUUUGUAUUCCAUUUGGAGUUUGUGUCAAGUAUUUUAUUUGAAAAACGAAAAAUAGACUACUUGAAUAUGUUGACAAUUCCUUCCUUUUGUUGUAAGUUUAUCUUUAAUCAAAUUGAUCCUAUUGAAGUAAAAGUUACAACUUACAACAACAGGUAUUUAACAAAUUAAUCCAUAAAAUGUAUUAGAAAAUAUACACAAUAUAUAUCAAUAUAUAAAAUUUGAUAAUUCAGUUGUCAAGAAUUCAAUACUUUACAUCCCACAUCGGUUCUUGGGGGGGUUUGGGUUUGGGUUUAUAAGUCCCUGGGAGGACCUCAAAAGUUGCCGGCUUUUGAGGUUACUUCUGAGAUUAGGUUUAUAAAAGCCGAAUUUCGGACUUUCUGUUCGAAAAGGUCAAGAAUUCAAUACUUUACUUUUAAUGUCCAUUCUCAAACUGUUUUAUCAAAUUUUAAUUAGAAAUUCAAUAGUCGAAUUUGAAUAUCUAUUCCAGAACUGUUUUACCAAACUUUAAAGUUUGGAUAUCAAUCAAUUUUAUCGAUUUUUGUUUGACUUACAUCUACUAUCUAAUCUAAAUUGGAUCUAUCGAUUUUUCAACUUAUUUUUAAGUAUAAACACUCCUAACUGUGUGUUGUUUUUAAAGAAAGCCCCUAAAACUAAAUGUGACUUCUACUCCUCAAUAGAUGUACUUUACAAAUUAUUAUUAUUUAUCAACAGCAUAGGAAUAUCAGUUUAUCAACAACAUAAGGGUAGAAUUGUCAACAUUUUUAAGCAGUCCAUUUUCCUAGAUUUCUAUUUUUGGGAAUCAUUUAGAUUGCCAUUUUUGAGAAUUUUUAUAAAAAAAUAUUAUAAUAAUUUGAUAUAUAUAAAUUAAAAGAAUAAUUAAAAAAUAUGUUUACAGAAAAUAUAAAAAUUAUUUUACAAAAAAUCAUAAUCCAGAGACAAGACCAGGUAGUGAAAAUCACUUUUCACUCUACAGUUUGGUUCACGUGCAAUAGCAAAAUAAAAUAAGGGGACACAAGCACCCAAGGGUUUCACAGCAGAUAACCUAUUGCUGUCUUGCCUGCGCUGCCGGAGGAUAUUGUACAAAGUAAUUUACAAUAAUAAUUAAUAAGGUAAAGUGUAUCACCGGUCAUCAAACCUUUUCAAAAUCUAACUCAUUGUACUAUUUUUUGCGUUAAUUGAUCAACUAAAUUUUUAAAAAUAAUCAAUUGGCUCAUUCUAUUUAUUUGCUGUAUCAAAAUAUAUCACGACAUGAAACACGAUAUAUAGAGGUGUUCUUGUCAGUCCAUAGAUGAAAAAUACUAUUAUUGACUAAAUGAGACAUUAAAAAACUUUAGUGACCAUUGGUGCACUUUUCUUGAUUGAUGUUUUUAAAAGUAAAGAGGAAUAAGGAAAAAACAAUUAUUAGCAACAUUUAUAAUGAACCCGAAUGAUCCUUGCACUUAUAAAUCUUUUGAGAAAGUAAUAAAAGUAUUUUGGUAACAAAUUGGAUUUAUAUUUUGAAAAACUACAAAGAAAAGCAACUAAGAUGAAAUCAUUCAGGAAAUAUAUUGUAUUGGGAAAUCGGUAAUGAAAAAAAAAUUUAUAUUGAACAAAUUCCGUCUAUUUUAAUUGAACAAUUUAGCAGAAUGGUCUAACUAAUCACUUUUAAGAGUUUAGUCGGUCAAUUAACAUAAAAAAUAGUAUAACGAGUUAGAUGAGACAUUGCCCUUUGGGCUCAGAUCGGCUGGCUAUGGGAUAAUCUCAUUGGGUUCCAAAUUGUGUGGUCGACUCUAGCUCUACUACCGUCUCGUGUAUCUUUGGGGGAUGGGGUGCACGGACGCAGGAAGAUUAGUCUGACAAAAAGUUAGGACACUCCCUAUGUUGAUAAAAAAAAAAAAAAAAGAGUUAGAUGAGACAUUUAAAAAAAAAAAUUUACUGCCUCAUAGUUACAUAAAGAUGUAUGAUUUACAAUAUGUUAAGAACUUUUUACAACGUUUUGGGUCGGUUACAACCGACAACCCACCUGGCGACCCCGCACUUGCCCAAAAUCUUCUUUAAUCUGCACAAUAUCUUCUUUAAUCAAAUUUAUGGGUCCUCACUCUCCGGACAACAUCAUCAUUUGCCACCAGGCCAGGUUUGGAUUGGAGGUCAAGCUUCAAGGAUCGUACGAUUCUAUGCGACCUACCGAUCCUAUCUCGAUCCUACGUAGAUUCAAGAAAUUUGCAUUUCUCAGUACGAUUUGGAUCGAUCUUACCUUUUUGGAUCGUACGAUCGUACGAUCCUACGAUUCGGAUCGUGAUUUUAACAAUCAUGACUUUUAUAUUCUACUAAUUUAUUAUUAUAUAUGACUAUUUUUAGUAAUUUUCUUCGAUGGAGUUUCUACUUUUAUCGGCUCCUUCUCUUCCUAAAUUAGUAUAUAUUAUGUUAUAGAAAUAUUAUUGUAGCGACGAAAAAAAAAGACGACUUCAUCGUCUAUUGUAGAAAUCUUGGACGCAUUCCAGUAACGGAGCCUUCUUGUCUUCAUUAAUUAUUCUGCUGGCUUAUUAAUUUCUUUUAUAUUUAAACCUCCAACACCAAAUUGCCUAUUUGCCUCUUUCUUCUCCAUCCAAAUAGAUCCUGGUGCAACUAGAUAGCUUUAUUAAUCUUUUUUUAUAUAUAAUAAAAAGUUUGAAUGGAUUCGACUGUGAUUACAAUCACGCUGCAAUUAAAUAGUUUUAUUAUUCUUUUUUUCGAUAAUAAGAAGUCUGAGUAGGUUCGGCUUUAAUUACUAUUACGGGUCAGGGCAUGUUUUCAGUACUAUAAGUCAUUUAUAAAGAUUGUUACAGAUAUUCCAACAACACAACUCUCAUAUUGAGAGCGAAAUUCGAACACAUGAUUUUUUACGAGGAAAUUGCCUGUCGUUGUCAAUUGAGUCAACUUGUGUUGACAACUAGAUAGUUUUAUAUAAAAGAAUUUCCUAUUUUUCUAAAUUAUAGGAAUUGUAAUAUGAACUACAAGAAAAUGCAUGUAUCCAAUCUUUUUAGAUACCAAGUCUGACAUGGUUGGAAUCAUAUUAUCCAUCUUGACGCUGUAAUCUGAACUACGUAGAAAAUGUAUGUAUCUAAUCUUUUUAGAUACCAAGUUUGACAAAGUUUAAAUCAUAUUAUCCAUCUUGACGCUAAAUGCACGAAAGAAAUGAUGAGGCACUAGAUGAAUAGAAGUUCCAACUAAGUCUUCUAAUUCAUCAUUAAAUAUAAAAAUUAUCAGUAAAAGAAUUCUUUUUCUAGAAUUUUCUUCACCUGAUUCUCGUAUGGAGUGUCUUGAAGCAAGUAUUAUUGGUAAACAAUAAAUAUGUUACUGUACUUGUUAUUCAUUUCUAUAGCGGCACCUUUUUCUCAUUUUUUUUUUGUCAUACAGUGAAUUAUUUACCAAAAUUUAUUUGCUUAUAUCAACAUAUUUUUCAAUCACUUUUUUUUAUCUCAUAUACAUCAUAUCAAAAAAAUCUUAUACAAUUUUUUUUCAAAAAAAACUAUUCCAAAUAAUCUACUAUUCUAACACACUCAAUGUGGGACUCUUUAUUUUGCUUGGAAAUUGCAAAGAAAUGAAGUAUGCGUUCGUCACCUUCAUUUUACGUAUCACGUUAAUUUCUAUGUUUAUCACGAAAUGUUUGUACUGAUAAAAGUACAUAAAGAUCCCUUUCAGACAAAUUCCAAAUAAAAAAAUGUUGAAGUCCUAAAUAAUUACUUAACAUUAAAAUGGUGUCAUGUGUAAAAACUAUAAAAUUUGUGCUGAUUUUUUGUAGUUAAAAUUCAGUUUUUUCAAUUAGAUGCCCUAGACUAUUAAACAAAAAUGGGAAAAGAAUAAUUAAUAGCCAAAAGAAUUCAUCAUAAUCUUUAAUUUUUUUUAUGACCUGAGCACGUGCAGGUAAAAAUAAAUAAAAACGUUUGCACAAAUAGUGUAAGACUUGACAACCUCCAUUUUUACUUUCUCAGGAUCGUUUAUAUUCUACGGAAAUAAUGUGCUGUAAAUUUCUAACCAUCAUGCAAAAAAACAUGUUCUAAUAGUCACCAUCUACUCUAUUGUCAAGGGAACCAGUGGCAGUAUAUUACUAUAUUAUCAAGCGGACCAUUGCUGUAAAUUUCUAACCAAAAUGCCAAAAACAUGUUCUACUAGUCACCAUCUACUCUUUUGUCAAGCGGGGACCAUUGGCAGUAUAUUAUCAAUGUCACCAUCUACUCUAAUAUUACUCCUACUCCUACUCUAAUUUAUGGGUGAUCCAACUAGAUCAAGAGAUAUCAAUCUUUACUAUCUACUAACCUAUUCUAUCUUAAUCUACAGGGAAAAGAGAAUUUAAGGAAACUUAUGCAUUAAGGACUAGUAGAUAUGCAAAUCUAACUAAAUCAAAAAGGUGCUUUGUCACCACUCUUAACUUUUUUUUUUUGCUAUAAAUGAGAUUUGAAUUCUCACUUACAGUCCAAGGAGGGACUUAAGUCCCUCCGUGGCGGCCGCUGAGUGAAGCUCAAUGGUUUAGUGGUAGUUGGUUCAUUGACAGUAGUACUUUCUUAAUGAUAUAAAAUUAAGACAAUUGGCAGUACUUUCCUGCUGAGUACAAAGUUAGGAAAAUAUCUUGUGACACUGAGGAUGUCCUUUAUUGGAGCUUGAUAACAAGUGCAUUGACCUUCUAUCUCCAACUUUCUCUUAUAUUUGCUCCUGUGCCAUUGAAUACGUGGGUACAACGUAAAUUCCUACAUUUACUUAAUAUAACAUUGCGUAAUUGCUUAGCGUCAUUAUCCACAUGGUACAAAUUCAUUGGGAUGGUUUUCUGUCAUCAACGUUAAAUCAUUUAUCAUUCUUAAUUGCAGAAUGAUCUUCACACGCAAUGGUAUGAUUAAUGGUAUGGUUCUUGAUUCUACAAUUUUUCUUUGCGAUCACAUUAUGAUUUGGACUAUGCACACAGAAUCAUCGCAUUUGGGGAGUCUGAAUCAGUGUUAUCUUUUCAUGCCUCACUUUAACAGCUAUCAAAGUACCAAUAGGGAUUUUUGAAGCUUUUUAAGAACUUUUGGUUUUGGUAACAAAUUAUGACAUGGAGUACUGCAUAAAAGUGAGUCGUGAAUAAAUUUCUCAUCCAAUUUUUGGAGGCAAGCAACGAUCAAGUCUUUUUGAACUUGAAUAAACCACCACGAUGAAACUUAUGCUUGAAAAGGAACUCCCAAGAACUGAAAAAUUCGUUCGAUGUUUAUUUCUAUUUGCAAUAAGAUAUUAGGUCUACUAGUAGAACAAAUCAAUAUAUCGUGUAAAGUAUACAUAGUUACAUGGAUUCAUGCAUGCAUGCAUACAUACAUAAAGUCCGUGAUUGGAUAGAAUCAUGAACUAUAGCGUGUAAAUGGUUGUUUUUCUAGGUUGCUUGUUUGUCAAAGUGGAAAUUGGAUUUUUUUUUUUAAUUUUAACCUUUCAAGCCUUCCCCCAACGAUAGAUUCAAGAUUCAAAUAUUAAAUUUGACAGCAGGAAAAACUAAGUGCACUUUCUUGACCACGAGGCCAACCCCAGUGAUAAUUGAAGAUUAUUUACAAGAAUUUGAUAAUAUUAAAUGAUUUUCUCAAUCAGUUAAAUAAAACGGUCUUAUUGUAGUUUUCCCACGAGACAAAAUAACACGCAUCAAGAAGCAUAUAUAUAAAUCCCACUCCCACUCCCACAUAAAAAUACAUUUUAUCAUCUUUCUUACAUGAUAUAUGUAAAUAAAAAGGUUGAUGGAAAUUGUAUCAAGAAAAUAUUCUCGCAAUUUUUUGUUUUGACGGAAGAAAGGAGAAUGAGAUAUAGUUUCUUACGCAUUUCCGAAUAGUAAUACUUCGUUUACAUGAAAACACCUUCACCAACCUAUUUUAGUGCAAAGUUAAUCACCAGAAUUAAGAGAGUGAAUAUAAUUGGUGUUUUGGGGGUUACUUUGAAAAAAAUGGAUAAAAAAAGGUGUUUAAAUGUAGAAAGGAAAAGUAAAUGCGUGUGUUUAUAUCCAAAAGAUAAAUUAAAUGUAAAUUAAGUGUACUAGUCGGCCAUGUUUUAUCAUCCAUUUACAAAAUACUCUUAACAAUUCUAUAAACUUAUUCUCAUUUCAAAGGAGAGUGACCAAAUGGUUUGAAGUGAUUGGGACAAUUCAAACAAGAACGUGUCUUUCACGGGAACUUGUGGUCCAAACUCUUAUUUGUAGUUAGCUAAAAGUCCGACACUAAAAUACAAAACAGGCCCAUGCUUAUAGAUUCUAAAAUGAGGAAAAUGGUUUGCAUGCCAUGGAAUAGCUUUCCUCGGAUUUAUCAGAUGCUAUCAUAUCCACCCCUCAUUUAGAUAUUUUGAUAAGAAGAGCAUCUAGUUUCCGCCAAGAAAACGAAAUUUAUUAUUUGAAUUGUUGAAAAUACCAAAUUUCUCAGAAUUCAUCAAUUGGAUUCUUCUAAAAAUUGACACAGGAAAGGAAAUUUAUCUAGUGUUGGAUUAUCUGCUAAAAUUUAAAUGUUUCAUGCUAAAGUCUAAAUAAUUCAGAACUUCGUGUGGUGGACCUCACAUUUUGUGGUGUAUUUGUUUGGUUCCUUUAAAGCAUAUGAUAGAAAACCUUUGUUAAGUAUAAAAAGGGAACAAAAACUGGGCAAACGCUUCAUGAAUUAUUGCCUCCUGAAAAAAAUCUGCUGAUGAGAUAUCGUCUCAGCAAUCCUGACUUGCCAAUCCACAUGUUUUCCGACAAUUUGAUGGUCCUAAUUAAUUCAUCUCCAUGCUUUGUCGGGCUUUGAUAUUUCGAGCAAAUAAUAAAGGGAUAAUUUCAGAAACCUCCCCUGAGGUUUCUGACUAUUUCACUAGCCUUUCUCCAAAUUUUGUAAAUUACACUAACCUCCCUUAAGGUUUAUUAUCUUAUAACAUUUAGAUCCAACCAAUAGUUUAAAAUGUGAUAUUAGGCAAGAGAAGAUAAUAUGAUUCCAUCAUUAUCCCUCAUCUACUAAAUUAUUUAAUUAAUCUAGUACCAGCCCAAAUAUUAAAGAAAACACUAGAAUUUACUAUUUAUCAUCAAAAAUCAAAUCACAUAUGGCAUCAAAAAUAGUAUAUCAUUCUAUAUAAGAUUUAAAUUGCUCUUUUCAAAUAUAAAUCCAUUGUCAAAUAUGAUCAUCGAAAUAUUAUAAAGAGCGGACUUUAAUACUAUAAAAAUCUCAACAACAAACCUUAAUAUGUUGAUAAGAAUAUUUAUGAUGUUAAAGUUUGUUCUUUGUAAUAUUUUGAUUGCAAAUUUUUUGAUUGUUUGUUGCUGACUAUGUUUGACAAUGGGUAUGUAAUUUAAAAGAAUAAUUUGGGUUUUAUGCUAAUUGAAAAAUAUAAAAUGAUAUGCUAUUUUUUGAUAUUAUAUGUGAUUUGAUUCCUAACGAUAAAUAGCAAAUUUUAGUAUUUUUCUUUAAUGUGUGGGUUGGCAUCAAAUAAAUUAAAUAAUAUAGUAGAUGAGGGACAAUAAUGAAAUCAUAUUAUCUUUUCUCUCCUAAUAUCACUUUUUAAAUAUUGAUUGGAUGUAAAUAUUACAAGAUAAUUAACCUUAGAGGAGAUUAGUGUAAUUUUGAAAACCUGAAGGAAGGCCAGUGAAACAGUUAGAAACCUCAGGGGAGGUUUCUGAAAUAAUCCCAAUAAUAAAUUGUUCCUUGACUGUGUAUCCAGAUUUGGAUCUAAUUUCAUUGAUGGAAUGAUUAAGGAAUGCCACGAAGCAUUUCAGUUAGCAAAAGGUACUGUAAUUGUGAAGGACUUGCAGACCAUAAGUCUGGAAUUCAUUACUCAUAAAAAAGGGGAAAAAAAUGAAGUCCACGUAUUCUCCAAAAAUGAAAUUAGUAGCAAUAAAUAUGCAUUUAAAAAUGAAAAAGAAACAACAUAGAAAGUAGAGAAACAAAUUGCAGGCAUUUUUCUCCUAUUUCAUAAUUUCUCCUUCCAUCCUUGCUCUUCAAAACUAGAAAUAGUAGAACGGAAUUUGAAACAGAUGGCACUAGGGUUGACCACCUACUUGCAUCUGACUUGCUGUCAAGUCUCUCCAGUUUUUUUUUUUUUUUUUUUUUGUUGCUUAAGCAAUUCCCGUUUUCUUCUUGUUAUUCCUAUCCGUUUCUGUUUUAAACGCUUUGUGCCUAUAAACAAGCAUUGUUAGGGAUUUGUUUGCUGGUUUUCAUCAAUUUUAAUACAACUUUGGUUGGAAUUUACGACUUUUCUUGAAUGCUCUCAAGGUUUCUUUAAUUUCUUUGAAACUUGUUAGGAAGCAGAAUGUGUUUCCCUUCGUCUGGAUUGGCUUAUGUAUCAAUUACUAUUGGGAUAAUUUCACAGACCUCCCCUAAGGUUUCUCACAAUUACAAAGAGCUCCUCUCAGGUUUUAAAAAUUAUAUAUACCUCCCCUACUUUUACUAUUUAGCAAAAAUGUAGGUCCAAGAAUUUAGAUUUUCUUUCAAAAAUCUUAAUUGCCCUUUUGUAGAAAACUAAGAAAAAAAAUACAGUAUACUUAAUCAUUUUCUUUCACAUUUUAUAUAAAUCAACAAACCAAAUCCCUAAAAACCAUCCAAGUAUAAGUUCUAAAAUCAAGUAGUCAUCCAAAGAUCCCAAAUUGCAUAUACAGUAUCAAUACUUGUGUGAUAAAAAAAAAACACGUACAAAACUCAUUGACAACCAAUUUUAUACCCCAAAUUAAAUAUCAAUGCUCAAAUACCUUUUCAAUAUAAGUUUAUUUGGCUUAGAACCAAUAUUACAACUCUCCUAUGGUCUUAAAAAUAUUAAUAUUUCAAAAUUAGAGAAUAAAUUCUACCUCCACAAUAAAAUUAUAAUAAAAAAUUUCUAAUCCAAUGAAAGAAAUCAUUAUGUAAUUAUUGACAUUUUAUAAAAAUUUUUCUUAAUAACAAACAAAAUAUGACAAAUUUCACAUUUUUAGUUCUUCUUCCUAUUUCAAUCAUCAAUUUCAUUAGUUAUUUUUCUACCAUUGUGAGUCUCUUCAUUUCCUUCUAGUUUGACACCUAAUUUACUCCUUUUGUAGAUUUUGUAAUUUCAAUUUGCUAAUAUCCCCAAAACUGAAGAUAAUAAAAAAGAGAUUAUAUUAACUAGUAAAUAGACAAGAGACAGAAAAAUAGAUUUUUUUUUUUAGGCUUUGCAAAUUUAUUGCCUUAAAUUUAAAAUUAUCUACUAAGUGGAGGGCAUUAUAGGUAUUUUACUAUAUCAAGAGAGGUAAGUCGAAUUUCUUAAACCCGAGGGGAGCUGAGUGAAAUUGUCAGAAACCUCAAAGGAGGUGUCGCGCCCCAUUUUUUCGCGAUGGCGAAAUAGAAUAAAGGUGUUUAUAAAAGAUGUGAUUUUAUUUAAAAAUAAGUGAAAAAAGGACCUAGAAUGGGACUUUAAAAAAUGCGACAAUUUGGGUUCAAAAAUUUAGUCUAAAAAGGGUUUUUUUAAGAAAAAAAGGAGUCGCCACUUGGUAUUGAGUUUGGGUGUACCAAGUCACCCCAAAAAUAUUUUUGAUAAAAAUAAGAUAAAAUAAAAACCCUUUUGACAACUCCAAGUCUUCAAAAAAACAAGAGAAAAAUGGGUUCGGGAGUCACAAUUGAAGAAAGGGAAGGCAAAUGUUCGAUUAAAUCAAACCUAAGGCACCCUUUCAACCUAGUCUAAGCUAGUUGCGAGGUUUAGUCAAAAUUUUCCUAAUCUAACCCUUAAGUUUAUCACGUUUGAAUGUUUACUACAUAGAUGCAAAUCUAAAUUUAUAAAAAUAUCGAAAGGGACAAAAUGUUCAUUCAAGGGUUUAAUUGAACCAAUCACAUUAAUUACGAAGGCUAAAAUAAUUCCUUGAAGGUGUCACGAGUAUGCAAAUGAUGAAAUUAAAAGUAAAGGAAAGAAAUUAAAUUAUAUACAUAGAUGUAAGUGAUCAAAGAAAAAGGGAAUGCAACAUAAAGGGCACGGGAGGCAAAAACUCGUGACAUAAUUUUCUUAUACAGGGAUUAAUGGGAUAUUUAAACUAAAAAGCUAUAAUCACCCAUUUCCCAUGUUUGAAAAAUAAUUAUCCUAACAUGAACAAGCAAAUAAACUAGCUUAAAUGAGAUGCAAUUCUAAAUGACAUGAUUAGCACCUAUAGCGGGUAGGGGAUAAUAUAAUAGGGAAUAUGAGAAAAGAUCCUAAAAAUGAAAAUAUGCAUGAAAAUGUAGUGAAUAGUACACAAAGAUAAAUCUAGCGCAAGACGACCUAAAGGGUCUAGCGUUGGACUAGCCCAUUUCUAAAAAUCUUUACUAGCGUUGGACUAGCAAGUAAGCAGAGGGAGAAGCCACAACUAGCGUUGGACUAGUGUGGUGACGUCAUGCAUUAACAAUUCAUAGUAAAACAAAUAAAGCAUAAAUUAAAACAAAUAAACACAUAAGAGCACGUAGCACAUAACACGUAAACAUAAUAUCUAGAUGCCAAAAUCCUAAGAAAAGCGGAUAAAACACAUAACACAUAAGCCACAUAAACACGCAACCUAUCUAUUACAUCAGGGAGCGCCUAACUACAAUCUAAAAGGGAAAAAUAUAAUAAAACAAAUCUAAUUAUCCUAUCUAUUACAUUUUGAGGUAUUUAAAUGCCUCUCGAAUCAUUAUAAAAAUUAACUAAAACAUAUAUAAGAAAAUUUGAAUGAAUAUUUAAAUCAAAUAAAUAAAGCAUAUAAAAAUAUAUAAACUCAUAGGAACACAUAGGAGCACAUAAGAGCAUGUAAUUGACAUUGAAAUAAUAAUAGGGGUACCUCCCUUUUGAAGUGGUGACUAAAUGGAGUCAAAUUGCCCUAUUUAUACUCAAAAUGAACAAAAGAAUCAUGGCACCAAUUUAAUUGAAAAAUAAUAAUAAUAAAAAUUCAUCUUAAUAUGUCAAAUGCAUAGAAAUUUAAGAACAUCUAAAAUUUACAAUUUAAAUAUAUUCAAAAGUGACAUAAUUAGCUAUUAAAGAAAAGAAACAAUCAUAAUAAAGAGAGACAAAACUCACCAGGGACUGAAUUGCAGAAAUCGAAAAACUUUUGGAGACAAAAAUUAUAUUUUUCCAAAGUUCAGAGGUCAAAAUUAAUUGAAAGAUAAAGUUCAAGGACCAAAGUGCAAUUAAUUUAAGGACCUAGGUGAAAGGAAUUUAAAAUGUUCUGGGCCACAAUAAAACUACUCCAAAGAUCAGGAGAAAAAGUGCAAAUUUCGGCUUCUGAUUUGGGCAAGAAAAAGGUCAUCGGGCCAUCAUUUUAUUUCUUUGGGCCAAACACUAUCUAAGCCCAGCUGAAAGUCCAAGAGAAACGAGCAGGUCAGCCCAUCUUUUUAUCACUCAAUCCCAAUCAAAAAAAUACAUGAGCUCCUACCUCUUAGCCCAACCGAAUUAAAGAAAAAACCCAUCAAAAAAAUAAACCUCAACCCAAUUCCUUUUUCUUUCUUUUCUUUCUCUUCUUCUUCUUUCUACUUCUGCCCAUCCGUCUCUGCCGAGGAGCUGAAGCUCCCUUCUGGCUGGCGGCUAUGGCGAUUGCCGGCGGUGCCACCGUCGGACAGCUAGUCGCCAGCGAUCUCUCCGGUUGCCAAAAUUUCUCAAAAUACUCUCCCUCACUCGAUUUUUCGCGUAGAUUCCGUUUCCGGGCUUAAUUUUAAUAAAAAUUGACCCUAAAGUGGCCAAAAUGCCAAAAUAUAGUCCAAUUUUUUUUUUAAACACUCAAAUCUUCACCCAAAAAUCAUAAAAUUUAUGCCAAAACACUCCUUAUAAUCUCCACAUUUACAAAAUCUUAGCUAACAAGAAAACAACAACAAAAGACUACAUUAAAGCAAAACAAUCCCUAAAAUUCAUUUUUUUCAUUUUGGCAUUUUUUCAAACAAUUAACAUGCAUUCACAAGAAACAUUUCCUUUUCCUAAAUCUGGUUUAUGACCUUCCCAAAAUUUCACCGAUACAAUAACAACAAAACCAGCAAAAUAAAACAACACACAAGCAAUCACACAUACAUUUAAUCUAGUUAAAUAAAAAAAGAAAAGCUGGAAAAAAAGGACAAGAAAUACCUCAAUGAAGACCUUGGUCCCUUGGCCAAAGUUUUUGAUGAGAUUGCCAAGCUCCAAUAGCCCAACCAGUCGCUGCCUCCCUUUUGUUGUCUGCAAGGGUGUUGUGGAAAUAUUGGGAGAGAGGAGGUCCGAGAGAUGUAUUGAGAGGGGAAAAAAAUUGGAGUCUUGGUUUUGUUGAGAGCAAAAGAAAAGGCCGAGAGAGUGUCCCCCUUUUUUUUUUCUUCCUCCUAUCCGUUUUGAGUCAGCCGAGAGAGGGAGGGAAAAAUUUUCUUUUGUGGCUUCUCCGUUGAGUCCAGGAAAGGAGCCCAGUGAAGAGUCCGGGAGAUUGAGUGUUAGGUUGGUAAAAAAUCAUGAUUUUACCAAAUGACAAGAAAGAUGAAGAAAAUUGAGUGUAGGAAUGGGUUAAGUGUAUUUGGUGGAAAAAAAUGAUUAGGAUGAUUUGAUUUCUUGAUUUUCUCUUUUUUUUGUUUUUUUUAAACAAACUUGCAAAAAUAAGAAAAAUGCACAUUAAAAUGUAAGAAAAUAAAUAAAUUACUAAAUAGAAAAAAUUCAAGAAAACAUUAAAAUUUUGACAAAAAUUUGGUGUCUACAGGAGGUUUAUGAAAUUAUCCCGUUACUAUUUGAGUAGGUUUCUCCUGGUCUAAUGACCACCCAACAUGAGGAUAAUCCUAACCCUAAUGACAGACUCAAGAAGAUUAUCAUGAGAGACAAUUGCAGUCAACCAACCAUCAAAAAGAUGCUAGAAUUGUAGGCCUUAACCGGGGUCAUAAAGAUGGAGGUGAUGAAGUGUCAAGAGAAUUGUUCACGAUCGCAAUGUUAGUGUGAAGACUCACAAAAUUUAUCUAUUUUAAACUCCUAAUUCUAGUUCAUUUAAUUAUUUAUUUGGCCAAUUGCCCGAAUAUUAUUUUCUAACAUUUUUAGACCUAAUUAUAUGGAUCUAUAGUUUAUUUAUAUUUUUAAAGUGACUUGUUUAAAAUUUUAAUUUUUGAAAAUUCGUUAAGUGAAAAUAGUGAAUACGCAUUUGGAGUCAAUAAUCGAUUCGAGAAUACAAUAACCUUGGAAAAUUGGAGACUUGUACAUUAGUCUUGAAAUAGGUAUUUUUAUGUUUAAGUGCUCAAUUAUUAGUUAGUGAUACUAUCGUUAUAAGAAUUUCUUGAAAAUUCCACUUUAUCGCGCACAAAUCGGAAGUACGCGUUUUUACGCGUGCGAUUAAUUGAGGGACUUAAGACCAUUAUUUUUAAACCAUUGAGAGUGAAUAAUAAUAAUAGUAUGAAAAUAAGUGCAUAAGAGGUAUAGUGCACAAGUGAAAUAAACUGGAGAGAAAUCGAGCACGAAACCCGCGCUCGCGUGUGCGGGGAGAGGGUUGACUUUUGAACGAAUCGUAGCCACACAUUAAAGCUUCUUUUGGAAGCUUCAUUUCAGACCAAAACCUCUCUCUCUCUCGCUCUCUUCUGGCCGGCCACCCUCAAGAAGAAAACAACCAAGUUCUUCAACUUUUCCUUCAUCAAAUCUUUACCAUUUCAUCUGAAAUUUCACCUAUACUUAGCUAACCACUUGGAACCACCUCAACCUAGGAAGAGAGCUUGCUUUCCACGGUUUUGUUGAGUUUCAAGAGGCCGAAAAUAUCUGCUUUGUUCAUCAAGAGAGGUAAACCACGAUCAACUACAAGAAUCUUAGUUUAUGAAGACUAUCUUGCACUUAUAAGCUUAUAUAAUCAUGUGAGUAGUUUUAUUUAUGUUGGAAAGUUGGUGUGUGGGCUCUAUGAACUCCCACUAUGGCUUGAUGGACUGAUUUGUUGUGUUUUGAUGUUAUUAAUGUAGGAUUAGUGUUUAAUCUAGUGGAAAUAGGUUGUAUUGUUGAAGGAAAACUCAAAGGAAGUGAUGAGAGAAAUUUUUCAUUUCUGCCCCUGUACAUGCCAUGGCCCUUAGAGCACUUUUUUGUAGUUCUAUUGACUUUUUUAUGAUGUAUACAUGUUGUGUGGGUUGUGUAGAAAGUUUCAUCAAAAUAUUUCGGGAUUUGGAUGGGUAGAUGUUGAGUUUUCGAAAGUCUAGUAAAACUGGAAUUUUCCCCGAAACUGCUCCGGCAGUGGUUUUCAAAUGGCUAUAACUUUUUACUCCGAUGUCGAAAUUGAGUGAAGUUUGUGACACUAGAAACUAGACAUUCUCAACUUUCCAACGGUAUAAAAUGCAUAUUCUGAUUCCACCUGAGUACUCCAUACCAAUCAUUUGAACAUGACUGUCCUGUUUCGCGUCUACAUUGGGAGCUCUGUUUUGAGCAGCGAAUUGAUGCUCAAAUAUGAGUUAGCUGUGGACAGAUUUUGAAAAUGAUUUAUUCUAAGAAAUUGUAACUUUAUGAAUUUAGUUUUCAAUUCCACUAAUCACCCUCGAUUCCAAAUUGAAUUGAGUGAGUUGUGGCCGAAAUCCGAAACUGACUCAAUGAUUUGAAACCCUCUUUUGGCUAGUAAAUGUCUAAAUUUUGAUUGGGACUUGUUGUUUCGAAAUUCUUGGUGUUAAUCACCUACCAAAUGCAUCUUGGGUGUUUCUUAGACAUUACCUACACAAAGGGACCGUGUUUGAGACAUUUUUGUUGGCCAAAUAUUUUGAAAACAGAAAACUCAUGUACAAGGCAUAUUUGCCUUGGAAAUUUGGAAACUUUGGUGUUCUAGUUAACCAACUUUCCGUAUGUAUUUUUCCAUGAAAAUUGAUAGAGAAAUAGCUCUCAUAUGGUAGUAUAAUACCGCCAAAUUUGGUGCCAUUCCAAGUUCAUUUUGAUGCUCAAACAAAAUCCCAAAGUUUGUAAAUUGAACCUGGAAAUUUGCCUAACCGUCUCAAUUUUUUAGCAACUUUGAGCCACUAUAUCUUGGUGUUCAAAACUCCAAUAUUUGUUCCACUUAUUUUGUUUUAAACUUUGAUUACAACUCUAAUUGGGUUUCAAAUCUGAGAGGCUAGUUCAAAUUCUGUGAAUUUUGCCGAAUUUUCAAAAUUGGCGAAAAAUCAACCUCAAAAUUGUCCCGCAAGCCUAAAACAGUAACUUUGAACCAGUUUUUGAAUGCCUUCCGUUGGGAAUCAUGGAAAAGUAUACUCUAAGAACUUUUAGUACUUUGGAAGAAGUUUCCAACGGUACCAAGUUUUCUAAUUUUGGACUUAUAAAGAGUGAGAUAAAAUUUUUUCAAAGAUCUCGUAUCAAAGUUAAAAUUUUCGAAACUUUAGGAAAUGGAAUUUUUCGAAUUCUCCUUUUCCCCUCGAUAUCACUUGAACGUUCACACUUGAUUUCAAAGAUGAAAACUCGAUUUCUCUUGUGCUUUAAAAACCUAACUUUUGAGCCUUGAUUCGCGAGUAAUUUAGGCUCACUUUCGUAAAAUUGUUUUAGAUUGUACAAGUGUACAAUCAUUCGUGAUAAUUAGGGUUUAUACAUGAUAGUUCACUACUAAUUACUUAGAUUCGCACGAGAACCUUCAAGAGGAUCUCACGGUGAACGCCUGAAUUUCAAGUGACAUUUCUUCCUUGUUUACUUGGUGAGUGUCAAGUGUAUGUAAAUCUGAUAUGUGCUUAAUUAUUAUUAGUGAUUGGAGAUUUUGAGAAUGCUGAGUCGAGUGUGUACUUUACCGCACUCGGUCUCAUUUAAAUGAAUCAUGAAUGACUUGAUUGAAAUAAAAUGAAUGAAUCAUGAAUGAUUUGAUUGAAUUGAAAUGACUGAAUCAUGAAUGACUUGAUUGAAAUGAAAUGAAUGAUUGAAUGAAAUAAUAAAUUAUACUAUGCUGCAUAAGUCGAUUAGAGCGAUGUUUCAUCGAUCACUGAACGAUUUUAAAUACCACACCGAUUCGGGUGGGAGGUACCUCUCGAGUAGUCUCAGUACCCUAAACCUCUGAACAAUAGUAAGUACCACACCGAUUCAGGUAGGAGGUACCUCUCGAGUCGUCUCAGAACCAUAAAGUAUUCUAAGUCGAUUGGAGCAGAGUCUCAUCGACCUCUAAACGAUAGUAAGUACCACACCGAUUCGGGUGGGAGGUACCUCUUGAGUCAUCUAUAGUUGUCAUUCAUCCAAUGUUGACAGUGUAUACACUGUCAGUGUAGAAAAAAUUAAUUCUUUUUUAUUUCUUUUCGAUUGAAUAUAAGCGUAGCAAAGGAAUAGUGGGAGUGUGGAAUAAAAAGGAGUAGUUUGUUGGGUUGAAAAUCGCGGUUAACAACGAAGUCGUUCCAAUUUGGAUGAAAAGUCCUUUGAACCAUGCCAAUGCCAUGGCUUUUAUAUCCAGUGUUGGUGUUUUGCUCUCAUGCAGCCUGGGAUCUGCAAAUUGUGGAAGGCCCUGUAGAUGAAUAUACAUAUUGUCCUAAUCAAUUUGUUAACAAAUCAAGGCGUGUAUUAAAUUUAUAAAAGAAAGUAUUUAUCAAUAUGUAUUUGUAUUGAGAAGGGAAACUAAUGGGGGAUAAAAGAAAAACAAGAAUUAGAUACUAUUAAAACAAAAAAAUCAACAAAGGAAAUCAAUAAUUUUGGAAAAUCGAGCAAUUAAAAUGGAUCAAGAGCGAACUUUACUAAUUUCCAGGUGUAGCUACGAACUAUUCCCUAACCCCUAACUCCUCAACCCAUUUGUCCUUUCCCUGAAACUUUGACCAACAAUGACUGAAAUCACAUUUAAGUCAAUUGUACAUUGGCUAUGGAGAGUUAAUCAAUACCUUAGGCCCAUCUAAUCCAAUCAGUAGGAAACAUAACCAUAAUUGGCAUAUAACUAUGAAUCUCAAUUUUUAAAAUUUACAACUUUUAUAAAACAAAAUCAAGAAAAGGAGCAUGUUCAAAAGAAAAAACAAUCCAUAAAAACAUUUGAUAUUAAUAGAAGUAAAAUGUAAAGAAAACAUUAAUUGCACAAAAUUUCAAAACUAUUCCAGAUAUUAGCAUAGGAUAUUCAUUAAUCCAAGUAACACACUUGAACAGUGGCCCCGUUUGGCAAAUGACUUUUUUGAGUGUUUGUCUAAAACUUUACCUUAGAAGUUGUAGAAAAAAUUUUUAAAAUGAGAAACUUUUUUUCGUUUCUUUCUUUUUCUCUUUCUCUUUUUUUUUCUUUUUCUUUCUUUCUUUCUUUUUUCUUUUCUUUCCUCUCUUCUUGUCCUCCCCUCCCCCUCCCAAUCCGCCUCUCCCUCUCCCUCCCCUGCCACUCACCCUCCCUGUUGGAAGCAGCAACAGCACCAGUAGAAACCAAAAAAAAAAUUUUUUUUUUGCCUUUUCCUCUCUCCCCUUCUUCUCCCUUUCCCCCUCCCCCACCACUCUCCCUCCCCGUCAGAAGCAGCAAUAGAAACAAAAAACAAAAUUUUUUGCCUUUUCCUCUCUCCCCCCUCUCCUUCCCUUUCCCCUUCCUCGCCCCUACUACCGGAUCUGGUUGUGUGACCAGAUAGUACCGCUAGAAGGGUGGGGGAGGGUGGCUGGGGAGGAAGAGGGGGAGAGAGGAGGGAGGGAAGGAGGAGAGGAAGAAGGAGAAGAAAAAUGAAAAAAAAAAAGAGGUUGCUGGCACCGGAACCGGUCUUGGCUGGCGCAAGAGGUGGUGGUGGGUUGGGUGGAAGAAGAAAUGAGGAAGGGAAAUUAUUUUGAUUGUUUUGGGUAUUUUAAAGUGUGCAGUUUAAAAAUUUUGAGAAAUUUUUUGAAAUUACUAUAGCUAAAGUUAUUAAAAAACUGGUAGGCGACAAACUUAGCCAAAAACUCCUUUGCAAAAUAGGCCCAAUAUUUAAGAAAACACAAAAGCCGUGUCACUUCUUGCACAUUUGGUUCAACCAAGAUAAUUUCAAGAAACACAUAAAGGUAAUAACUUCACCUAAUUAAUGUAAAUGCAUCGCAAUUGAAUGUAAUCAAAUACUAUCCAAAUCAUCAAAACAACAUAACAGAAACAUCAAAACCUAAACAAAGAAAUCACGAUAUAGUUGAUCCAAUAUUACAAUAACAUCCAAGACAAAAAGAUUUUCUAUGAUAAUAUUUAUAGAGAAACAAUGCCUAUUCAGCAAUACCACCAAAAAACAAAAAGGCUAAAACAACUUUUGUUAAAUAUGAUAGAAAACAAUCAAAGAGAAUCUUUUGAAACUAAAAAAAAAGACCAUUACCAAAAACUGAGGAAAGAUCAAACAUAUCCACUAAAUCCAUUGCAUAGCAUUUUAGACAAAAAGAAGCACACAACUAAAGUAGAUCUCACAAAAAAACAUAAAGAACAAUCAUUUGCAUCUUUAACAAAACUUACACCUUUAUAUUAUUGCAAUCUAAAGACCCACAACCCAGACAAGAAUCUAAUACCAACUCUAAUUCAGAAUCUUAAUCUUUCACGACAUUUAAAUAUGGAUUACUAUGUAGAACAAAGUUAAAGAGGAGAAAUAUUAAGUGCAACUUCACCUUCAAGCUCUUGAUGCUGAGGUACUAAAGUUUGAUUCUCCAACAAUCUCUUGUUCUACCUAGGCAGGUAAUUCUUGCGUUUUAUUAUGUAAGUGGCCAUUGCUUUGCCAGAUGGAGAUUAGGGUUCGCCAACUCGGCUGAGUCUGUUACGACUCGGCCGAGUCAUAACCGGAACGGCACCUGCCGUUCCGAUACUGAUACCCGAAAUGUCGAUUACACCAUAUCCGAUUUGAAUCGCUCCGAAUCAGCCGAUAUCCUCAGAAUUAGCACUGUGUAGCAAGAUAACAGCCAAAUUCUCAGAUUCGACUCAAAUAUGUACCAGUAAACAAGUUUAAACAGCAAUUGGGAAGCCAACACCAAACAAAAAAAGAACCAACACCGAAAGGACACAAAAGGCAUCGCACCAUAGCUAGCUACGGCUGUUGCAGAGCAUUUUACAAAACCAAACAAAACUACAAUUACCAAAGGUGGUCCACACGGUUGUUGCAGUCUUUUCCCAUGCUUUAUUGUUUUAUUUUUCAGCCACAAAGACAAGCUUUAGGGAAAAGUGGGGAUAAAGAGAACCAUACCAGCAAUUCCUCCGUAAUCUAUCACUAGUUUUUGGGCUUCCCUCCAGAAUAAAGGUGACGGCCGGCUGGAGAAACAAGCCGAUUGGUUCUUCAAUUUCUUCAUCGUUCGGCUGUAGCUCAGAUCUGUUGACAGCCGGCUCACAUCUGUUGAUGCCCGGCUGCGGCUCACAUCUGUUGACGGCUCAUAUCUAUUGACGGCCAGCUCAAAUUUCCAUUGGAGAACAAAAUAUUGUUCAAUGAGCCAACUCUUCAAUUAUAGAAAGGGAAAGCAAAAGAAAAAGUAAAGGUGAUGGCCGGCUCUUCAAUUUCCACAUUAUCUGGCCGUGAAGGAGGUGAAAAAGUGAGAAACGGAAAUUGGGAAAAAAAAUGAAGGGAAGAGACAGAGGAAGAUAUGGCUAAAAUUGAAGGGAAAACUCCAAUGAGCUGCGGUUGCACUAAACAGAAGAUGGGCUUUUGUACUGAAGCCAGCCAUAGGGAAAAAAUUAAAGGAAAAAUUAGAAGCACGUAAAGUCUAGCUUUGGCCCAAGUAAUUAAGAGAUUAGGCUCCUAAUCUUAAACCCAAGCAUCAAUCAAAAGGUCCGCAUCUUCUUUCAAAAUAACUUAUCAAUUUUAAUUUUUUUAAUUUAGCAAUCAGAUAUGAUAUUUAGGUAUUUGUAAAUUUAAGUAAUGCAUUUUGACAUUUUUUUACAUAUUAUUAAGUAUAUGAUUAAUUUGUAUUAGUAGUCUCUUAUCUAAAUUUUAGUUAGAAAAUAUGUAGUGAUUAUUUGGAUACAUUUUAAUGAUCAUAAAUGUAAUUUAUUUAUUUUCAUGUAUCUCAAUUAUGUUGGUUAAAAUGAUUUUAAGUAAAUUAAUUAGAAAAAGUAAUAAAAAAAAAGAGUUUGUUGCAGUUAGUUAAACAAAAAAUUGAAUUGGGCAAAUUGUCAAAGUAUAAAUUACCUGGCAUAAUUAAACUUGAUUAGAAAAAAUUUAAUAUAUUUAGAUAAUAAAAAAUUUUAUUAUUAUCGAAAUAAUACAAAUUACCUUGCAUAAUUAAACUUGAUUAGGAAAAAUUUAAUAUAUUUAGAUAAUAAAAAAAUAAUUUUAUUAUUAUCUAAAUAAUGCAUAUUACCUUGCAUAAUUAAACUUGAUUAGAAAAAAUUUAAUAUAUUUAGAUAAGAAAAAAUUUAUUAUUAUCUAAAUAAUGCAUAUUGAUUUGCAUAAUUAAACUUGAUUAGAAAAAAUUUAAUAUACUUAGAUAAUUUUCAAAUAAUUUUAUUAUUAUCUAAAUAAUGCAUCAUACCAUGCAUAAUUAAACUUAACUAGAAAAAAUUUAAUAUAUUUAGAUAAUAUAAAAUAAUUUUAUUAUUAUCUAAAAAUGCAUAUUACCUUGCAUAAUUAAACUUGAUUAGAAAAAAUUUAAUAUAUUUAGAUAAUAAAAAAUAAUUUUAUUAUUAUCUAAAUAAUGCAUAUUGAUAUGUUUAACAUCACAUCUACAAUUAUUUAAUUAAUGUAGGGACAGUAUAAAGUGGCUCCAAAUCAAGACAUUGGUUGGGAUUAUGCUACUCUAGUUGGUAAUGACAGAAAGGUUGCAAAGUGUAAUUAUUGUGGUAAAAUUGUACACGGAGGAAUUACAAGAAUGAAACAACAUAUUGGACAUGUAGCAGGACAAGUAGAGGCAUGUCCGGCAGCUCCAAGAGAUGUAAGAGAGCUUUUAAAGAAACACUAUGCAAGAGCUGCAACACAAAAGAAAAAAGAAUCAUUGCUUUCGUCCAUCAAUCUACUAAAUGAAAAUAAGGAUGAUGAAGAUGAUAAUAUUUUCGAGCUUAAUGAAGAAGAAAUGGAAGUUUUGGAAAGAAAUCAAUAUAAGCGAACUAUGGAAGAAAGUAGAUACAUGAGAUUUAUGGAAGAGCAACGUAGGCAUUCUAUAUCUGGAGGUCAGCCAACUAUGGAUUUUACAUCUGGUAUGUAUGUAGAAAUAUCUAAGAAUUAAUAUAACAUUUUUAGAUUACAAGACUUAUUUAAUAAAAAAAUUAUAAUCUUUUAUGUGCUAUAUUGCAAGGAGUACCAGUUCAAGUAUACCGAAUAUAUUGUCCUCUAGAAAUAAAAAAGCUUUGUCUUAGAGUUUUAAACUCAAGGAAGGAGUUUUGGGGCCAAAAGGAGUUGAUUCAUGCAUGUUUCCCUCCAAAAAUAAGUCAAUAAAAAGUUUGUUUUCCAAAGAAAAUACCAAAAAAGUUGGUAAGGCAAUUGCAAAAUUUUUUCAUUUUAAUGUCAUACCAUUUCAUGCGGCUGAUAGUGGUCCUUAUUAUCAAUCGAUGAUUGACACAAUUGCUAGUGCUAGAACGGGAAUUAAAGGGCCAACAGGUAAACAAAUUGGAGGUGAAUAUUUGAAUGAGGAGAUGACAGAUGUUGACCAAUACAUUAGUUCCAUUAAACAUAAAUCGAAAACAUAUGGGUGCACAAUCAUGUGUGAUGGCUGGAGUACUCGGACAAGCAUCCAAUCAUUAAUUUCAUGGUGUAGUGUGAUAAAGACAUGAUAUACCACAGCUCUAUUGAUUGUACAAACAAGGUAAAGACUACAAACUUUGUCUUAUCCUUAGUGGAUAAAGUUGUGGAUUCCAUUGGAGAACAAAAUAUUGUACAAAUUGUCACUGAUAGCAAAUCUAGCAUGAAGGCAACCGGAGAGCAACUGAUGAAGAAAAGGAAGCAUUUGUUUUGGUCACCAUGUGCUGCACAUUGCAUUGAUUUGAUGCUAGAAAACAUUGGUCAAAUGAAGUCAAUAAAGGAUGCUAUCAAACAAGGUAAGAGAAUUACCAGUUUUAUAUAUAAUAGUGACAAAGUGGUCAACCUAAUGAAGACAUAUACAAAUCAUAGAGAGUUAUUGCGACCCGGCAUAACAAGAUUUGUUACCGAGUUCAUUGUAAUGGAAAGUCUUCUUCAUCAUUCUAUCGAAUUGAAACGAAUGUGUAUCUCAAAUGAGUGGCAGGAGUAUAAUAGCAGUUCUAAAAGAAGGGAAGAAGCUGCUGAAGUGUCUGACUUGAUUUUGUCAGAAAAAUUUUGGAAAAAGGUACGGCAGGUAUGUGCAAUCAUGGAGCCGCUAGUAAAAGUUUUAAAAGUGAUUGAUCAGAAUAAAAAACCCACACUACCUAUUAUAUAUGAGGCAAUUGAUAGGGCUAAAAUGGUAAUCCAAAAGUGUAGUGAAAGACUAUGAAAAGUAUUGGGAUAUCAUUGAUGACAGAUGGUAUAGGCAAUUAUAUCGAAACUUGCAUGCAGCAUGUAAUAAGCAUUUGACAGUUAUAAAUAAAUAUUUCUUUUAAACAAAUUAUUUUGUGUUAAAAAUUUACUCACUUGAUUUUUUUUAUGCCAUUGGCCCAGACUAUUUCUUAAAUCUCGUUUUUCAAUAUUCCGGCACUUGUGAAUUUAACACGUCUGAAGUUAGAAGGGGAUUGAAAGAAGUAAUCAAAAGGCUUGAACCAAAUUUAGAAGUACAAGCAAAAGCAAUGAACGAGGUACAAAAAAUAACUAUUGUUUAUUAACUUGCAUUACUGUAUAAAUUUAAGAAAAUUAUUAAUAUUCUAACUCUGUAAUAUUCUUAGAUAAACACAUUCAUGAACAAAAUUGGAGAGUUUGGAAGUGCACUUGCAAUUAAGGCAGUAGCUGCAUCUUUACUAUGUUCAUAACUACGAUUUUGUUCUUUAAAUUAUAUUAUGCAUUAGUAUGUUAUUUUAAUGAUACUUAUUAUAUAUGCAUAACUAAAAUUGUAUUUUUUUUGUACGCUAUAUGUUUUUAAUAGCUGAAUGGUGGAAUAUGUAUGGUGAAGAAGCUCCUAAUUUAAGAAAUAUUGCAAUUAAAGUUCUAAAUCAAACUUGUACAUCAUCUGGCUGUGAAAGAAAUUGGAGUACAUGGUCUUUGAUACAUACAAAACUUCGAAAUCGAUUGGCAAUUGAAAAGUUGCACAAGUUGGUAUUCGUGCAUUACAACAUGCGGCUUAGAGUGAAGAAUUUGAUGUACAAAAAUGACACUGAUGAUUUUUAUGAUCCAAUUGAUUUAAAUCACAUUUUUGAUGAAAAUAAUAUAUUAGAUGAGUGGGUUCGAGAAAAUGAGCCGUCAUUAAUUCAUGAAAAUGAUUUGAGUUGGUUGGAUAAGGCUAUCAGUGAAAGUGAAGGGAGAGAACAAAGUCAUGACAAUAAUCAUGAUAAUGAUAUGCCUUUAUCCCAAUUCAUAACUGGUAUGAAAAAGAAACAUAAGGAGCGAGCAUCUACGAGCAAAAGCAAGGGUACUGGGAAGAAAAAAGUUAUAUCAAAAUCCAUUUCAUCUUCCUCUACCAAAAGUUCUAGUAGUGAAAAAGAUGACAGUAGUAAUGAUGAUGAUGAUGGAGGGGCAAACAUGAGACAUUCUCAACUAAAAAAUGUUUAUGGUUGUGGUAGUGGUGGUAACUAUCAUGAUAGCCAAUAUACUGGUGGCAUGUCAUAGGGUCAAGGAGAUGAUAACUAUUAUGCUACUCAAGACACUGAUCAUGGAUAUUGUCCUGGUAUAGAAGCACAACGGCAACAUUUGAGCAAAAUAACUGAAUUUUCAAGUGAAGGUGACUCUUCUUACAACUCAAAUUCUAGGAGAUAUUCUGAAUUUCAUGAGCACAUGCAAGAUUUGAAUAUAGGUCAUUCAUAUGGAGUCUAUGAUUCUGGUAAAAGUUUGGGUACUAUGUGGUCAGGACAUGAAUUUGAGCGAUCACUUGCAGGCUCUACUUCUUAUUGCUCUGAAUACGGAUCAUAUGGUGGACCUAACCAUCUUCAGAGGUCCACUAGUAUUUCUACUGGAUCAUAUGGUGGACCUAGCCAUCUUCAAAGGUCCACUAGUGUUUCUACUAGUGGAUAUUAUAAUCGGCCAACUGGAAUACAUUAUGAUGAAUUUGCAUUUGAUUCACGUAGUAUUGGUUAUUAUGGACACAAUUAUGGUUCAUCUAGUAGCACCAAUGAUAGUUUACACUAUCGAGAGUUCAGUUACUACCAUAGAGGUGAUGAAUUUGGAUCAAAUCCACCACCAUUGCCACAUUUUAAUCAUGGUUCAUCUAGUGCGUCAUCAAACUUAAGAGAUGAACAAUAUGGUUCAUAUAUUUCUUUCCAUUCACAUGAAGAAAAUUAAAUGCAAAUGCCAUAUUCUUACUCUAAUUGGUCGGAAGAUGAGCAUGAUUUUGAACCUCCUCGUCAUUCUAUAUGGUGCUAAUAGGUAUGUAAACAAAGUAAAAAUGUAUUUUUAUUAUGUUUGAUAGAAUUUAAGAGUUGUACAUAAUUCAUUAAUUUUAAUAUUUCAGUGAUAUUUAUUAUUUUAUACUUUAGGAAAUUGAGAUCAAUCAUCUGGGUACUGCAGUGGAUCAAUAUAGGGUGAAAAUGUUUAUUGAAAAUAUGGUGAAAAUGUUUGCUUCUUUAUAUUUUUGCAUUUCAUAAUAUUAUUUGAUAGGUAUUUGUUUUUUUAUUGUAUUAAACUAAACACCGCUGCUUCCUCUGUGUACCGAGAUUUGUAUUGUAUUAUGUGACAUAUGAUAAUUUUAUUCUUAUAUAUACUUUUUAUCUCAUAUGAAAUAGAAUCAGAACGUACACUUUAUUCUAAAAUCAUUUAUUGCUAAUGCUAUAGGCCUUAUGAUAAUGACAGCAUUAUUUUAUUUAAUAAUUAGUAAGUAUAUAUGAUAAUGUAGGUAUUUAGUAAAUUUAAGUUUAUAAUUGUGCUUUUUAUGGUAUUUUUUAUUUUUAGUAAUUUUUUCAUAUUUUUUGAAAAUUUUUAUAUACUAUAAUGUAUGUAUCACCCGAUAUUCAUCGGAUAUGUCGCGACAGAUGCGGAACAAUCGAGACCGUGACGCGACCGAGAUCCGCGACGGCAAACCAUGAUGGAGAAUGGUAAUUUGUAAAACCUUUCUUUUGCUGAAUUUUUUUGCUAGCUUAGGCCUUUUUGUACUUCUUUAAAAGUUUUCCUUUAUGGUUUGUGGCAUGCCUGUAUAUUUCUUAUGCUGCUCCUCAUUCUUAACUAUUGUUAUUGAAGAUUCUGACUGAGCAUCUAAAUUUUCAGUUUCUAUAGUCAUCAUACUUUCAUUGAGGAUGUCACCAAGUUUAGUUUGAUGGUGAAGAAACAAAAUCACCCAAAGAAUUGAAAUUGAGGUCGGAUUUUGCUCACGAAGGAGACAGGAUACUCAAUCCUGGCUCAAGAUUUUUCACAAAAUUUUUUUGCUCUUUUUUCUUCUUCUUUUUCCCUCUGUUUUCCCUCUUUUUCCUCCACCUCCCCUCCUUUUUCUUACCCUAAUGUUGCAUUUUGAUGGAAUUUUACAAGAAACCAAGGCUCCUAAACCCUCACCUCAAAGGUGAGGAUGAAACCCAGGUUAGCUGGGCAAUUUAGAGCCAUUAGAUGGCUUGUUUUUCUAUAUCUUUUCUUGGUGAUUCGGAUCAAUGCGAGGUGCCCUUGUACUGGGGGCUUUGAGGGAAAGAAAAUGGAGCAGAAAUUGCACGAAAAAUGCCUUGACAUGCCAGCUGCAAUUCUGGUUUCCUGCAUCUGGUUUGUACGAUGAUGAAAAAGAAUAGCGCACGUGCGUGAAGGGAUUUUUUUUUUUUUACAAAAUCUAAUUUUAAUUUUUUUCUUUUAUUUUCUUUCUAAGUUUCUAAAAAAUAAAUUUGAGAUGAUUUUCUAUAGAAAAAGUAAUGUUGGCCUUGGUCCCUAACUUUUGAUGUUUACAAAACAAUGGAUAAUUCUAAUAUCUCUUCAAGAAAUAUUUUCAGCUGUGAAGCAAAUCAGAUUAAAAAAUCAAAUGCUAUUGAAAGGGACAAAAACUGUUGAAAGCUGUCGGACGCUUGGAUCGGACGUCCGAUAAUCAUUGCGCAACUUCAGACGCAUGAAAAACUCGACCACUGGACGUCCGAAGGAAAUAAGAUAUUCCCCCUGACUCACUGAUCUUGAUCGGACGCAAGCAUCAGACGUCCGAUAGGAUCAUUCAAAGUCGACGAAGCCAUCGGACGUUGAAUAUGUCUCCACCGGACGUCUGAUAGAAACAAGAUGAUUUCUCAAAUCUCUUUGUUUGCUGUCGGACGUUCGUCGGACGCACAAAGAGCUUGCACCGGACGUCCAAUAAAAUUGAAGAAAAUUUCUCAAACUCACUGCCUACUGUCGGACGCAAAAAAUAGGAGUACCGGACGUCCGAUACUCCAACGGCUAGUUGACUCUUCAACUAUUUUCUAUCCGUUGGAAGCAUUAGUGUGGCACUUUCUUGGUCCUAUAUAAAUAGUGGUUGGUCAGAUAUUUCAAACAAUUUUGACACAUUGAAGAUACAAAAGAUCUAGAGUGAUUUUAGUGAGAAAAUACUCUUCAAAGAAGAUUUGUAGUGUUAGUGGUGUGAGGUUCAUUGUAAGCUUUUCAUUUGUGAGUGAAUACUUCAUGAGUGUAGUUCUAUGAGGGUUGUCCUGAGGGAUAGUAAAACGUCCUAACUUGACCGAGUGGAAUUCGGGGCAAGGAGGAGGUGAACAUUCCUUUGUACACAAGAGUGAUUGUAAUUCAUCAAAUUGAAGUAGUUUGAUUGAAUUAAUCUACAAGCUCAAGAAGAGCUGUGUAGUUAAUUGGUUUGCAAUUCUUUCCUUUUUAUUUACUUUUUGUUACGUUUGUGAUGUUUACAUUGUUUAUCUCUUCCACUUGGUUGUCUGCGAUCCUUACAAUUGGUAUCAGAGAUUGGUCUUCUUGAGAUUAACUCAAUCGACUUAGGAGUAAUUAUGACAACCAAUAAUGUUAUGUUUUUGAAGGACAUUCUGUCAUUAGACCACCUAUGUUUAAUGGGUCAAAUUAUGUGAGUUGAAAAGAAAGAAUGAUUAUGUUUUUGCAAUCUAUUGAUAUUGAAUUGUGAUUUAUUAUUAGUGAAGGUCCAUAUGAUGCCUCUCUUUUAGAUGAAAAUACUCACAUAUCUAGACCAAAAAUAAGAAGUGAACUGACUGCUGUAGAUAGAGCUCAUCUCACCUUAAAUGCAAAAGCCAUGAAUGAGUUGUAUUGUACUUUAGACUGAAAUGAAUCUAUUAGAGUCAAAGGCUGCAAGUCAACCAAGGAAAUUUGGGAUAAACUGAGAAAAAUUCAUGAAGAUAGUGAGAAUGUUAGAGAACAAAAAAAAUUUAUUUUGAUUACCAAGUAUGAAUCGUUCAAGAUGGAAUCUCAUGAAAACAUUGAUAAGAUGUAUUGUAGAUUCAAUGACCUCAUUAAAGAUUUGGAGGUGCUGGAAAAGAAAUAUCCUCUAGGUGAGAAAAAUAGAAAAAUUCUGAAUGCCUUAUCCAAUGAUUGGGAGAGUAAAGUGACUGCCAUUGAAGAAGCUAGAGGUCUAAAUUUCUUACCUAUUGAAUCUCUUAUUAAUUUUCUAACCUCUUAUGAACUGAAACUUAAGUCCAAAAUGCAAGAGGAAGAGGAUGCGAAAGUAAGAAGGAGUAUUGCUCUAAAGACAUCUCAAGAUGUAGAUGAUUCUGCCUCCCUAGAUGAAGAAGAUGCGGAAACUGAUGAUAGUGAUCUAUCUCUCAUCGCAAAAAGUUUCAAGAGAAUUCUCACAAACGAAGGUUCAGAAAAGGAGGAAAUAGCAAUUCAUUCCCAAAUCAGUUCAACAACCUGAGAAACAAAGGGAAGAUAGAGUUCAACAAAAAACAAACUGAUAAGUGCUUUGAAUGCGGCCAACUUGGACACUACGCAAGUAAGUGUCCAAUGAAGAAGAGGAACUGUGAAAGAAAACCAAGAUUCAACAACUUCCAGUUCACAUGGAAUGAAUGCAACUCUGAUGGUGAAAUUGAAGAGGAAGAUGAAUCUGCUCAAUUGGCUUUCAUGGCCAUUGGAGAUGAUGAGAUAACAUUUUCUAACUCUUAAUUUAAAAGUGAUGAUGAAACUGAUGAUGAUAUUGAAUCUUUCAUUAUAAAUUUGUAUGAUAGUUUGAAAGAAUCUUAUGCUAGAAAUAAGGAAUUAGAACAUAAAAUUAGCUUUUUUCUUCAGGACAAUGCACGUUUUUUUCAAGAAAACAAAAAGUGAUUUCUUAAAGAAGAGUGAGACUGUUUUACACUUUGAGUUUGAUAGAAAAACAAGACUUUGUGAAAUGUUAAAAAAAGAACAAGGUGAUUUGAAAAGAAAAAUGGAUAAUUUAAAUGAGUUGCUCCAAUAUAAAAAACAAGACUAUUUUCAAAGUAAUAAAUCAAAACCUCAUUUUGGCACUCAUUAGAUAAGACUGAAUCAAAAUGCAAAUGAAUUUGCUAUCCAUAGGAAAAGGCAAGUCAGAUUUAUUAAACCCAUUCAUGUGAAUACUUCUUUGGUUAUGUGUAAUUUUUGUUGUCAAAAAGAUUACAUAAAAAGUGAUUGUUAUGUGAGAAAGAAUAUGAAAAGAGGCAUGAAAUAUAUGUGGAUAAUUAGACAUGAUGCUAACUCUAACAAAUAGGAAAUAUGAUAAGAUUGAUGAGAUUCUUGUUCAAUGCUUUUUUAUAAUUUUCUUUUGAUGUUUCUGAUAUUUUGAACUGAGUUUUUCCUUAAUAUUUUUGAAUAUUAUUGAAGUUUUUAUGAUGACAAAAAGGGGGAGAAAGGAAUGCUAUGUGAAAGGGGGAGUUAUUCUGAGUUUAUAAAAUUUUUUGAUGCAUUGAGUGAGGGGGAGUUUAUACUCAUAUCCAAAAUUUUUUCUUUCUUCCAUUCAUUGUUUUGUGAUCAUAAAAAAGGAGGAGAAUGUUGAUCUUGGUCCCUAGCUUUUAAUGUUUACAAAAUAAUGGAUAAUUCUAAUAUCUCUUCAAAAAAUAUUUUCAGUUGUGAAGCAAAUCAGAUUCAAAAAUCAAGUGCUAUUGAAAGGGACAAAGACUGUUGAAAGCUGUCGGACGCUUGGAUCGGACGUCCGAUAAUCAAUGCGCAAUUUCGGAAGCAUGAAGAACUCCACCACCGGACGUCCGAAGAAAAUAAGACAUUCUCUCUGACUCACUGAUCUUGAUCGGACGUAAGCAUCGGACGUUCGAUAGGAUCCUUCAAAGUCGAUAAAGCCAUCGGACGCUGAAUAUGUCUCCACCGGACGUCCGAUAGAAACAAGAUAAUUUCUCAAAUCUCUUUGUUUGCUGUCGGACGUCCGUCGGACGCACAAAGAGCUUGCACCGAACGUCCGAUAGAAUUGAAGAAAAUUUCUCAAAUUCACUGUCUGCUGUCGGACGCAAAAAAUAGGAGUAUCGGACGUCCGAUACUCCAACGGCUAGUUGACUCUUCAACUAUUUUCUAUCCGUUGGAAGCAUUAAUGUGGCACUUUCUUGGUCCUAUAUAAAUAGUGGUUGGUCAGAUAUUUCAAACAAUUUUGACACAUUGAAGAUACAAAAGAUCUAGAGUGAUUUUAGUGAGAAAAUACUCUUCAAAGAAGAUUUGUAGUGUUAGUGGUGUGAGAUUCAUUGUAAGCUUUUCAUUUGUGAGUGAAUACUUCAUGAGUGUAGUUCUAUGAGGGUUGUCCUGAGGGAUAGUAAAACGUCCUAACUUGACCGAGUGGAAUUCGGGGCAAGGAGGAGGUGAACAUUCCUUUGUACACAAGAGUGAUUGUAAUUCAUCAAAUUGAAGUAGUUUGAUUGAAUUAAUCUACAAGCUCAAGAAGAGCUGUGUAGUUAAUUGGUUUGCAAUUCUUUCCUUUUUAUUUACUUUUUGUUACGUUUGUGAUCUUUACAUUAUUUAUCUCUUCUACUUGGUUGUCUUCGAUCCUUACAAGUAAGAAAUAAAAAUAAAAUUAAAUGAAUAGAUAAAAAAUGAAAUAGGAAUAAAUGACACAAAAUUUUUGGUGUCUACAGUUUACACCAACAAUAAAAAAUCAAAUAAGGUUAAAUUUUUGUACGGUGUAAAUUUCUUGACUUGAACUAUUUAUUUUUGUUUUAUUAGAAGAAAACAAAAAUUUUCUUCUUAAAAAAUUCACACAUAUGAAAAGAUUAUUUUAAUUUUUAGUACAACUCAUACUAUAUCAUGUAUUAAAAUAUAUUUCCUAAAAAAAUUUCUUGACUUCCUUAUAACUGUCCAUGAAUUUUUUCAAAGUGUCAAUUACUUAUCAAAAUCGUUCUAAGUGGUUGAGUCUAACUAGAUUUAAUAUAUCCAUGUUCUUUGUUGUCCCAUCACAAGCUCGAUAAAGAAAAAUAUGGACCAUUAUUAGAUAUCAAUUUAUUUUUUUAAUCUAUAUAUUUUGGUUUAAAAUUUUAUUUUAUUUUUUGGUUAAAUAAUUAUUAAGAGAAAGGAUAAUGUUGUUAAUUUGUGACCUUUGAUGGAAAUAUUUAGUCUUGUUAAGCUGAUAGAAAAGGUAAGUGAGAUUUUAAAAACCUUAAAGAAGCUAAGUGAUACUAUAAGAAACUUCAGGGGAAGUUUCUAAAAUUAAACCUAUUCUAUUCUGCAGAGUGGAGUGAAAUGAAAGAAGGGGGAUCCUCAUAUGUAGAAAGGAAUCUAAUGAACUUAAAUGAAUUAAAUGAGAAGCCGUACAAUAUAUAUAAAAUGAUAUCGGAGAAGGGACAAGAGAUCGGGCGAUGAUAUCCUCCCCUUCGCCUACCCCAACGCUAAUUGGGGUCUUUGGUGUAUUUAUGCCAUAGUUAUUAAACCUGACCCGGGGAGGAAUCCGGUGAAAGAGGUGGGUCAACGGGUUACUGGUUCAACCAGUGGACGAGUGGUCUAACCGAUGGGUCACUAAAUAUAUUUAAAUAUGAUGUCGCAUAAUUUUAUGCCAUAAUAAAUAUUCAAUUAGUUUAAUUUAUUAUAGAAUCAUUGAUUCUUAUAAGAAUUAACAACCUAAAUUUAAUUAGUAAUCUACCAAAUUUCAAGUAUAAAAUUUUAUCUAAGUGUAAUUAUCUAGUUUAUUUAUGAAUUUUAAGUGCAAAAGUUUAGAUAUUUUCCUUUAAAAGGAAUUGCUUAAUAUGUUAUUUUUUAAGUCAAUUUCAUAAUUUAUAGAGUUUGGAAAAUAAUAAAAUGUUACUAUUCAAAAAGUCUAAAUAAAUUUUCUUUUGAAGAAACAAAAUAAGAAUAAAAGUAUACUAUAUGAUAUAAGAAUGACAGAAUAACAAUCAAGUUGGUGGUUGGUCCAACGGAAUUGUAUUCAAUUUGUAUGCUUGAGGUUGGGUGUUCCAAUUUCCAUCCACACAUCUUUACAAAAUUUUUCCAUGUAGGCCGGGUUCCUCGUAAGACCGGCCAGUUCAUCGGAUUGACCGGUUUAAAAGUCAACGAUUUGAAUGCAGAAACGAUCCUAUGAAGCACCCGACUCAGUUUCAUGGCCGGUUUAUCGGGUUGACUAGUUGAACUGUUGGGUCGGGUUUAAUAACUAUGAUUUAUGCCUAUUAAUUGUUAUAAAAAAAAUGCUAUAAUGAUGCUGCUUAAAAAAAUUGAUUCGAAAAAGAAAUUCAUUUCAAGGAAAAUAGAUGAAAACAAAAGGAAAAAAGAGAUGAAAAGAAAAGGCGGGAGAUGGACUAAUGCAUUGCAAUAAGGAGAAGUUCGGAUGUCUCCUUCACCUUAGUCAAUCAUUUCCUUUCAACUUGCUGACCGUCAAAUAUGACAAAAAAAUUCCAUCCAACGGCUCUUAGAUAUCCUCCUCUAUAGGACCAUUUAAACCCUUCGAUAACGGGGCCCAGAUUCUAGAUCAAUCAUCGGCUCUUUCAAAGAAGCAAAAAUACCAUCACUAGCAAAACAGAUGCGAGGCACCUUAGUAAUUCCCUUAAAUUCCCAAAAUCAGUUAUAACUGAUAAACCCUAGCCUGUUAUCAAACAAGCCAUAAGCAUAAAAGGAAAAUUUAAGACUCUGUAUUUUCAAUUUCAAAAUUUUCAGGUGAAUUUUUAGGAAGGAAAAUUUCUAGAAUUAAUGGAGAUUGGAGAAAGUAGUGAGAGCCCAGAAGGAAAAAAGAAAUCCAAAUCAAAGACUCCCAGAAAACCCAAAGAUAGCGUGCUCAAACAGAGUAAGUUCAACCAUUAUUUUGUGUGUGUGUGUGUGUGUGUGUUUUUUCGAGUUUUUCUCUCUUCUGGGUGAUGAUUUUAUUUUAUUUUGAUUUUAAUUUAAGGGAUUCUUCUCUUUUUGUUGUUUUUUUUUGGUGGGAUUUAUGCAGAGUCUCCAGCUGAGUUUUUUGCAGAUAAUAAGAAUAUUGCUGGAUUUGACAAUGUAAGUUCAUUUACUUAUAAUAGGGUAUUUCAUUUUCACACAGACACAAUCUGAGAGUGGCAGUGCAUGCCUGUGUUUGUGUAAUUGUAAUUUUGGUGAGAAGUGUGGACGGAGAUGUCAAUUUCAGAUUAGGGAGAUGCAUUCAGCUGAAAUUCGAAGGUUUGUGGUAGAAUGAAAUGAUCCGCAAUGUGUUUGAAAACCCUGCAUUUGGAGAGUUCGUGUUGAGUUUAAGCGUGCUUGUUUGGUAUUUUGCUGUAUGAUUGUUGUUUUUGUUAUGUUUGUGUGUUUCUUCGUACUUAGGCGGAGAUAGAAAAUAUUUGAUAUUGGAUGGGAAGGAAGAGCGGUGAUUGGAAUCAUUUAUUUGUGAAUUAGUAGAAACUUAGCUCCAGAAACAAAUGAAAGAAAGGGAUAAUAAUCAGUUUUGAAGUAAUUAUUGAACGGGGUAAGGUGUUCUGCAUUUUUGUUUAACGACUUGAAUGGAUUUUGAUAAUUUGUUUAUUUUAUUCAGCCGGGAAAAUGUUUAUACACAACUGUAAGAGAGCUUGUUGAAAAUGCGCUUGAUUCUGCAGAGUCAAUCUCGAAGCUUCCUAUUGUUGAAAUAACGAUGUGAGCUUACUGAACAUCUUUUUUCGGAUUUCCUUGACAAAAUUGGAAACAAAUAAUCUUAAUUAUUUUGCAAAUUGAUUUUGAUCUGAGCUUUUGACCGUUCUAGUGAAGAGAUAGUGAGAAGCAAAUUCAAUUCCAUGAUUGGGCUUGCUGAACAUGAACGUGUUGAUGAAGAGCUAUAUGAUGAUUUUGAGUCGGCCAAGGCUCGAUAGGUGUGUAUGCGAACUUAGCAUCAAUUUAAGGAGUUCUGUGUAGGAAAACUUGCACUUGGUCCAAGCAAUCAGAAUAGUUUAUAUGGUUUUUUUUUCAUAGCAUGAACGAUGAAACUUGCUUGCCACUAAAAUAUUGUCCACUGAAAUAAUGUCAUAUUGUCUUUGAUUUUUAGAAACGACUUGCCAAGGAAGCUCGCAUUCAGGAGAUCCAGGCAAAGAAUGCUAAUCUUGGAAAAAAAGUGAAAGAGCCAGUUGCUUCAAAGGCCAUGAGGGGUCGUGGUGAAACCUCAUACUAUAGGGUGACUUGUAAGGUAUGAUGCAAAAGUAUUGAGCUGCUACAGCCUUUUUCUGUUUUCAUUAUCAUGUAAAGAGCCAUAUGCAUUGAUCUAUCUUUUAUGAUGUACAUAGAACUUUGUAGAACUGAUUGUGGCAAGGCUCCACUGAAAGUUCAUUCUAUCUUAUCCAGGAUAAUGGAAAAGGGAUGCCCCAUGAUGAUAUCCCCAAUAUGUUUGGACGAGGUAUACACAUUAUGUUUUGUAUCUUAUGCAGCAAACUCUUGUGAAUCCGUUUGAGUUUCUCUCUCUCCCCUUCCCUCCCUCCUUCCCUCUUUCUGUUGUUUUACUGCUAGUUGCCUAUGCUGCUGGGUAAAAUUCCUGAUGUGAGAUCUAAUUUCCCAUAAUGCCUGCAUGAUUUUGGAUUUAAAAGAGUUAUAUAUACUUAUGCAGUUUUGUCUGGGACAAAAUAUGGCUUGAAGCAGACUCGUGGGAAAUUUGGUCUUGGUGCUAAGAUGGUAGGUUUGAAUUUUUGGCAUUGAGCCGUUUCCUUUACCAUGUUUCAUCUAAAGGUUGUAAGUUAUGCUCAAUAUGGUUAUGGCUUUGUCUGUUGCUUUUGUUUUGAAGACAAUAGUAAUUGCUAAAAAGUGGAGUUUAUGAAGUAUUUUGGACUUGCCUUUGCAUGUCUGUUUAGUUGUAAAUGAUUUUGAGCUAAUUCUGUCAUUCAUUGAUAUAGAAAUUGAUGUAUGUUUUGACAUUGGCAGGCCCUAAUUUGGUCCAAGAUGAGUACAGGACUUCCCAUUGAAAUCACAUCAUCAAUGAAGGGCCAAAAUUAUACUUCAUUUUGCAGGCUAGACAUAGAUAUUCAUAGGUACAAUGUUCUCUAAUUUCCAGCAAUUUGGGCUAUCAUUACCUGACAUGUCUAUAUUUUGUAUUUACUUUGACAAUAUAGUACACUAUUGUGAUUAAUCUUUUGCUAGGAACAUCCCUCACAUUCAUGUACAUGAAAAACAAGACAAGAAGGAGCGGUGGCAUGGAGCUGAAAUUCAGAUAGUUAUUGAGGGGAAUUGGACAACAUAUCGUGUAUGUAUUUCUUAGGUGAAGUAAUUCAUAUGCUUUGGAUCUAAUUCAAGUUGAGCACAAUACAUGCACUUGCAAUUACCCUUCAGAAACAUUUCAAUUUUCUAAGUGAGACUGCUCUGUCAUUUUUCUUUUAUCCUAUUGUAUUGGGGUUGAGGUGUGGAAAGAUGGCCAAUUGGAACUAUGUACACUUUGCCUCUCAUGCUAACUGUUUUUUACUUUGUUGCAGUCCAAGAUUUUGCACUACAUGCGUCAAAUGGCUGUUAUAACACCCUAUGCUGAGUUUCUUUUCAGAUUUCUGUCAGAUGCACCAGAGUAUGCUCUUUCACUCUUUCUCAAACAUACACGAACACACUUAUGGGCACAUACAUGUAUAGAUUCAUGCAUACAUGCAGACACACUUAAAAGAGAUGCAGUUUUUUGUUUUUUGAGAUUCAUAUCACUGAUUUAAUAAUUUCUUCAAUUUUUGUAAAGUAAAAAUGUGACGGUAAAAUUUGCGAGAAGGACAGACAUAAUGCCUCCGGUUCCUCUUGAGACCAAGUACCAUCCAUCAGCUGUUGAUUUGCUCCUGAUAAAGCGUCUUAUUGCAGAGACUUCGAAGCAGAAUCUCUUGCAAUUCCUUCAGCAUGAAUUUGUGAACAUUAGUAAAUCUCAUGCUGAGCGACUAAUUGGUAAGACAAACUUGAUUCCUCGAUGUCUGAUUAUACAACUGAGAAGACAAAAAUGCUCAUGUUAUUGUACAAUAUCUGGUGAAUUGGUGUCUUCCACGGGUUGGUGAAAGUGCGAGCAGAUUUAUGUUGGCUAAAUCAUGCUGAAACAGAUAUUCAUAUGUAAAUAUAUAUGUAUAAAUACAUACCACAAAGAGAGAGAGAGAGAGAGAGAGAGAGAGUGAGUUAACUAUGAGUACAACCUUUGAAAUUAAUAUACUUACAACCCACAUGCAUACUGUGUACACACACACACAUAUAUGGUGAUGUAAUCAAAGGGUUAUCUAUGAGUAUAAUUGCUUUAAGUUUAUACUGUGCCGAAUAUAUUCAUUGGCCGCUGUUCAUAUAUGUACGGCUUAAGAAAAAUUUUAUUAAAAGAGUUAAAAAGAAAUGUAUAUUCUGAAGAUGAAUGCCUUGGAUGACAGUGAACUUUGGUUAGUUGAACUGGUACGAAUCAGUUCCUUCCAUGGUGUAUAUUUUCUUGAUUCUGUAACUCUUGAAUGAACAUGUUUUGGUAUCUUUUAAAUGGAUAUUCAGUUACUGAUGAGUAUAUGAUGAGAUCUUCAUGAGUUCCUUCACAAAUGAAAAAAAAAAAAGGUGACUGAUAUAUCUAGCAUUUUAAUUUUAGGGGAAAUGGGACCAGAUUUCAGUCACAAAAUGCUGGUCAAGUCACUGACUUCGCAGCAAAUAGUUCGUAUCCAUCAGUUGUUUCGUCAAGCCAAGUUUGAUGAUCCAAGUGGUGAUGUAGGUUCAUCCAUUUGUCAAAGAACACACCUUUGCUCUUGCUUUUGUUAUUUAGAACAAUAUGUUUCUGGCUGAUUUUUCAAUUAUUUUGUUUGUAAAUUAUUCCAAUUUCUGCCUUUUGCAGUGUCUUAGUCCUGCAGGGGAAUACAACUUGCGCUUGGGAAUUAUCAAGGAAUUACAUCCAGACAUGGUUGCUACUUAUUCAGGAAGGUUGUACCUUUUAGCUGCAUUUCUAAAUCAAUAUUACUUUUGUUGACUUUUAAGAUAUAAAAGUGGAAGUUGAACAGUGGGUUUGCAACUUGCUCAGUGCUCAAGUAUUUGAAGGCCACCCCUUUCUUGUCGAAGCUGGAGUCAGUGUUGGUGGAAAAGAUGUUAAGCAAGUUAGUUCUUGAUCUCUUCUAUUUUUGAUUGUUGGUAAUACAUGUAUAAUCUGGUCCACUUUUGUUUUCAUGAUGUUAUCCAAAUAUUGUGUUUGGAACAUGAAAUUGAGUAUACUAGUGGUUUACCCACACAUUGAAAAUUUUUCAUGACUGUAAAUGCGGCAAAUUGCUUUAUAUUUCUGAUCAAAUAAUCCUGAUUUUUGAGAAAUGGUGAUAUAUCUUGCUAGGAUGAUAUAAUCAACCUGUUUUAUUUUCUAAAAGUUCAAGCUGAAAUUUUCAAUUGGUCUCUCAAAAGUUGCACCAGCAUUGCAUUGACUAAUGGGUAAAUGGGAGUUCAACCGUCUGGUCUCUGAGACUUGGUUAACAUGGAUCAAGCACAGUAGAGUAGCAAGUUCCUUAAUCUGUUUGUAGUAGUCCAGUUAAGAUUUGAUCUGUGAGGGAAAGUAUUACAAUGCCUGAAAUAUUGAUGUUAGAAACGGCUAUUUCAUCAUGUCCACAAGCACACUACAAUGAGCCCAAUGUAAUACUGAAAACCAGAAUGAUGAAAAACAAUCUCAAAUAUUGUGUCCAAGUUCUUCAGUAAUUCAGUUAACCUUUUUCCUUGAGGAGAAGAAAGGGGAUCUUUUAAAAAUUUAUUGUUCGUUACCUUCGUCUUUAUCCGUCCUUGCCUUGUAAAAAGAAUGCACAAGUCAAAGAAAACAGAACAGUGAUGACAAUUUUUAAGAGUGAUUGAUGAAACUCUAUUCCUACAAAUCUUUUAAUCUUUCCACUCCUUUCCUUUACAAUGAAGUCCAAAGUUAAAGUGCAUACUAAGAGGAUAAGCUUGUGUGAUCUCCUCUGACUUCUCCGAGGUUCACCUGGAUUUGCUCUCAAACUUUUUUGAAGCUGUAGGUUCUCAGCCAUCAAUGUUUUGAACUGACCAUUAUGGUCUUCUGUCUGUCAAUUUUGUAGGUUUAAUUUCAGAAUUUAUAAAGAACGUCUAUUGAUCACAUGAACAACUUUUAACUUGCAAGAAAGUUUUUUGGAUUGCCAACAACAGAAUUCUCUCCCUCCCCCAACACCCCCACCCCCAAAAAGAAAAAGGGAUUGCAAAUGUGUGUAAAUUCUUAGUGAGGUCAGCAUGAUCAUUAGAAAAUCUUGAUGGAGAUCAAUGUAGAAAUAUGAUACUCUUUGGGUUAUACAACUUGGCAUGGCUAUGAGAUACUAAAAGCAUAAACUCUAUUACUUCAAGUCUCAACUGAUGUCAUUUGAUAGGGGUUAAAUAUGCUAGAAACCUUCAGACAUAGACAAAACCAGGACUUGGAAAUUCGUAUAUAAUUUUCAUCAGUUAUCUCCCAUAACUUUGGGUUUCACAGACCCUCCACUUUUCUAGAUCGGCUUAAUUAUGUUGCAAUAGAUUUUGGCUACAUUAAUGCAUCCCCAUGCCCUUGUUUGAAGUCAAUAGAAACCUUAGCUCUCUUCCAAAUUGAUGCUCUAUCAAGUUCUUUUUUAUGAUUUGAUCAAAGAGUAGCUUGCCAAUCUAUUGAACAUAUCUAGUUUCUUAAUUGUAUGAUAUCUUGUCCCUUAGUACGUUGAACAGCAAUUUUGUUGGUUCUCGAUCGAUUAUUUUCCAAGUUACUGGACCAGUUGACCCUUUCUAAGUAAACAUGAAUGUGUGUGUGUGUGUUUUUUUUAAACUUUACAUAAACCUGGUUAUUAUAGGGUGUGAACAUAUUCCGAUUUGCUAACCGGAUUCCACUUCUGUUCGAGCAAGGUGCUGAUGUUGUCACUCGAACUGCUUUGAAGAGAAUUAAGUAAGAUAAGCUAUAAUUUUUAGACAUUUUUCUUGGUUGUAGUAUAUCUCUUUUUUGCUAUAUUAAUGUAGAAAAGGAUAAGUUCAUAAUUUUGGGCAUUUUUCCUUUCCCACUGAAAGAUGUGUAGAAAGGAAUAAGUUAUAAUGUUUUAGCCAAAAUUUGGUUUGAAUUCUGUUUUUCAGUUGGAAUAGCUACAAAAUAAACCAGGUGCAGGACAAGAUUGGUGUAUUUGUCAGCAUUGUAAGCACCAAAAUACCUUUUAAAGGGACCGGGAAGGAAUACAUUGGAGAUGACAUAAGUGAGAUAGCUGCUGCUGUUAAGGUAUAGGUUAGAUUGUAAGAAUACUAUUUGCAGUGGUCAGAAACUCUUUGGGGCCUCACACUAUUAUAAAAACAGACAUCCAUUCAGCAGUGCUGUACUCAACUGAAAUCCAAGAUCCUUAAAAGAAUUCAGGCUCGGGAGCAGCAGGAGAGGAAGCGAAAUUUGAGCAAGUUCGUCAUUUGGUUGAAUGGUAACUAAUCUUAACUGUACUUGCUAAGCUGAAUUGUAUCUCUGCUGGCUGCAGGUAUAUUCCUAAUGUUACAGGUGCCAUAUACGACGUUCUGAAAGAGAUGUCACAUUUGCAUGCAUCUAAAAGGAAGCGUUAUGCUAAUGAGGAUGCAGAAGUUCUGAAUAAGGUUUCAAAUCAUAUAAUUACAAGAGAAACACUUGGUGAAAAGCUUGCACAGCAUGUCGAACAGGUGAGCUGAUUUAUAUUAUUGUCCUCUAGUUCUGUUCAAAUAGGCAUAAGCAUUUUUCUUGUUUGUCUAUCUUAUGUUGUCUCUCUGGCUUGACAAUGGUCAAUUAUUGUUUAAUUUAUUUUCCUGUGCAUAGUUUAUUUGGUUCGAAAACAUAAACAUUUACUAUAUACUUGAUUUUUCCUUUUUCCUGGCAAAAUUUCUUUUUCAACCUGUCUUUUCUGGCCACCUCUUCCGUUUCAGUUCUCCAAAAAAAUGAUCCAAUGCUCAGAGUCAAAGAUCAGUAUGAAAAAUUUCAUGACUACUCCUUUAGCUUUUCCAUGAAUAUACGUUAAGCCUAUAUAUAUAUAUAUAUAUAUAUUGAAGGUACACAAGCACCUUGAACUACUGGCCUUUUUCCAAAAACAUAAAAAAAUUUCUUUCUAACUGGUGGAAUGCCAGUUUAUUUUCUUGUGCUCUGUUUGUUUUCAUGUGAUUAUUUUGAUUGCUACAUGCUAGCCAAUAUCUAUGGAAAAACAUCCAUUAAUAGCUGGAUAGAUUUUAUUUAUCAGCCCUUAAUGUUCAGUUGUGAGAAAAUACAAGGGUUAUUCCCUUUCUUUUGGCUGCAAAGCAUGUGAAGCAGCUGAUAUCACUAGUUUUGUUUCCUGCGAUAUCAAAAGCAUCUAUCUGAUGCCUGUAAUUUAACUUUUGAUGCCUAGAAAUUCUCAAUCUCCCUAUGUUGUGUUAGACGUUAAUUUUAUUUUGGAACAUGAUUUCUCAUCUUUGGUUCCAUUUGACUAACGCUAUUUUUCCAGGUGGACUAUGAAAUGGCUCUGGAAUAUGCCACACAAAGCGGAGUGAAUGAGGAACCCAGGGAAAAUAUCUAUAUACAAACACUGGAAGGAGAAAGUAAAUUUGUUGAUUUCCAGAGUCCUGUAUUUGUUUUCAGACUUUUCCAAUAGAUUAUUUUAUACAAAUCCCUGCGUUAAGGGAUGAGGAACUUUUCUCCUUUCUUACAGGUAGUCUUCUUGUUUACUUAUCCAGACAUGUAUUGAGUUUACUUCAAACUUCCAAGGUAUAUUAGAUAGGUACUCUAUCCCAAUCCAUUAUCAAAGUCAGGGAAAUGACGUUGCUGUAUUAAACCUAUUUCAACUUUGAACCCUGAAUUUCGAAUGAAAUAGAUUAGUUGAUUCUUUAUUGGUAGAAGUUACAAAGAUGGGAGUGCCAACUCAAUUUUGUCUCCUCUAUUGCUGCGUAAUAACAUCUGCAGCAUUUUUGUUGUAUGUGAAACUCAAAUUUCAUCACAUUCCACAGCUCGGGGAUCUCUUACCCGACAAUCUCUCCUUUCAUGGCUAAGGAGAGAGCAUUAAGUUUUCCCCCACUUUCCACAGUCACACCAGGCAUGGCCACAGCUCUACUUCCUACAAACCCACCAUCUUCAAUAUCAAUUUUUUCAUACUUCACUUUGCCUCCUUCACCUUCAUAGAUGUGUCCAAAGAGCAAAGCUUCUCUCUCUACAGAACCGUAUUUUUCUAUCUUCACCAUUUCAGGAUUGAGCAAAGCUUCUGUGCUGUCUACGUAUGCUCCUUGGUCCCAAGCAACUUCUGAACCCAGAGUUUUCAUCCAAAUCCCAAACAGAAACGAUCCACUUGUCAUUCCCAUCAAAUAUUCUGCAACUAAAGUCCUUAUAGCCUGCCAUAUGGUGUCCAUAUAGGUAGCUUUACUCCAGAUCAGAACAGUUUCACCUUCUUCCUUCUUCCCUACCAGAAUCCAUUUGGUCAGAGUGCAUAAAAGUCCACCUAAAAGUCCCGAGAAAACCCAGAACAAAGGCAACACCCAGAUUUUCUUGCUUUCAUUUAUUGAAAAGAUGCUGUUAAAUGGGAUAUUGAUCACUAGUCCCAAGAGAAAAUAUGGCAGGAAAAUUUGCAGCAGGGGUUGAACAGACAUAAGCCACAAUGUUGUGUACCAGGUUCUAGCCAAUGUCACUUUGCUCAAUUCCUUUUUCUCUAACCUCGCUGCCAUGGGACAGCCAGAGAAAUCCAGUUUAACAUCAGUUCGAUCCAGGAAAAUCCUCCAUGUCUCUGGAAGUGGCUUGCUGUUUCUUAAAUGUUGGCAUAUCUCAUAGACUACUGAACGGCCAUGAUCAAGUGAGGCACUUUGAUUGUAAGACGUAGCCCUGAUGACAUCCACUUCGUGGCAUCGAAAAAAUGGGUUGAACUCCAGGCCAUCCGAUUCUUCCUUGGUCAGCAUUUCAUCAAUAAUUAUCUCUCCCACCUCCAUAUAUGGAAAUUCAGUUUCAUCCCAUGGCUUGGUACAGUCUAGUGCAAUCUCAGUUAUACUUGCAUCCUCAGGAACAGGCCGAAUUUGCAACUGAAGAACGUAACGGACCUUGUCAGGAGAAUUCACGCGACACUGGAAAUCUUCAGCUAAAAAGAGUAGGGGGCGAGUGUCUUUCUCAUCUCUAGGGAUUGAACCAGUAUCGGGUGGAAGUAUACCCAUAGGCUCCACCUUGCCCGAGUCCUCAUUGAUGUUCUUGUCGAAGGGCCUUAACUUGAAUCUGACAUACAUUUCUUGUCCAUUCUCAAAUCUAAAUAGUCUGCUGAAAUUGGAGUAGUAAUGAAGUUCAGCAUAAGAGUCUGGCUGUCGAAGAGAUCCCCACAUAGCAUCCCGUAC